CCGCAAGGUUAAAACUCAAAUGAAUUGACGGGGGCCCGCACAAGCGGUGGAGCAUGUGGUUUAAUUCGAUGCAACGCGAAGAACCUUACCUGGUCUUGACAUCCACAGAAGAAUCCAGAGAUGGAUUUGUGCCUUCGGGAACUGUGAGACAGGUGCUGCAUGGCUGUCGUCAGCUCGUGUUGUGAAAUGUUGGGUUAAGUCCCGCAACGAGCGCAACCCUUAUCCUUUGUUGCCAGCGGUUAGGCCGGGAACUCA
This 255-nucleotide ribosomal RNA is filed under the name Salmonella enterica subsp. enterica serovar Enteritidis. RNAcentral describes it as "partial 16S ribosomal RNA". It matches the Rfam family "Bacterial small subunit ribosomal RNA", at positions 886 to 1141 of the family's 1533-position model. The record is from RNAcentral. Lineage: Bacteria; Pseudomonadati; Pseudomonadota; Gammaproteobacteria; Enterobacterales; Enterobacteriaceae. RNAcentral also lists the same sequence under 1 other name.